Molecule: long non-coding RNA, 1616 nt
Filed under: Sus scrofa (pig)
Lineage: Eukaryota; Metazoa; Chordata; Mammalia; Artiodactyla; Suidae
Description: lncRNA (ENSSSCG00055017139.1)
Source: RNAcentral
GGAAAAGGUACACAGUGGUUGUUGACAUUACUGGUUCAGUAGCUAAGGUUAUUCAAUUAAUAUGCUCUAAUUCCAUAAGAAAGUAGAAGUAUUAUAUUGCUGAGCCAGGGAACGUUACAAUUCCCUGUGGCGGGAGCAGUUUUCUAAGUUUUGCACAGGAACCAACUUCCAGCACUUCCGCAGUGAGUGAAGAUUUCCAUUGCCCACAACCCUGAAUUCUGCAGUGCAGGCUUUUUCAUACUCAUUUGGCUGCAGAUCCUCAUCUACCUAGUCCCCUCAGCGUGCAUAUCCAUUUGACUCACUGCCUAAGCGUUAGUGUUUGAUUGCAAGGUGCUGCUCUAGCCCCACCUGGCGUGCUAUUGUACUAUUCUUUCUAAAACCCAGAAAAAUUUUGCAUUCAGAAAUGCAUCUGGGUUUUCAGAUAAGGCAGUGUGGUGUGGGUCUGUAGGGAUUUCUUCUCACUUUUCAUCAAUUAAUUUAUAUGCAAAAAAGUGGAACAACUCUUAAGCAGGAAACCUUGGUAGGAGACUCAAGAAAACGAGGUACUUGUCAUCAGUAUCCGAGGAAGAAAAGCAUGGAAAGCAGAGUAGCCUAGGUCCCUCUUUUCCUUGACUCCCUUCUCUCCAGUCCACCUCACAGGCACAAAAUAUGGCUGUGGAGGAGGAGGCUGCGGUGCCUGCACUGUCAUGGUGUCAAGAUACAAUCCCAAGACCAAGAAGAUCCACCAUUAUCCAGUUACAGCCUGUCUAGUGCCCAUCUGCUCUCUGUAUGGAGCUGCUGUCACCACAGUAGAAGGAGUAGGAAGCAUCAAAACCAGGAUUCAUCCCGUGCAGGUAAGAGUGCAAUGCAAUUGGGACCAGGCGUUGGGAUAGGCACCCCACAUAACCUAACGUACUCCAAUCAGGUCACCAACUUUGUAAUCCUUUGUGCUUGUAAAUUCUCAUUUUGUGAGAUUCGGUGCUUCACAGCUAGGGAUCUUUUCAGAGAUUGGUGUGUAAACCAAGAUUCCUUCAUUUAUUUUAAUUUAUCUUAACUUUCCAGCCCCACCCUUGCCCUAAACUAAAACAAGGAGAGUCCUGUCUAAUAGAAUGAGAUAGGAAACUCAAAGUUUAUAGAAGAUCCUAGUUGUCUACCACAUUUCAAAAUUACUUAACUAUGCAUAAGAGGCUAAUCAUUUGGACAAGUACGACCCAAAGACUCCCCAAAUGUUUGCUGAGUAGCUGAACACCAAGAUACAGUAAAACAACUAAAAUGACAAAGCAUUUACUAAAACCUCUGAUGAUGUGUUGCUUUGACAGGCUCAUGGUGAUGGUGCCCGUCCUUCCACAGUAAACUUAACGACUUUUUGAUCUUAUUAAGGUCUUACCCCACACUUGGCUCAUCACCUUAACAGUUAUGGAAGCAACCUCAUGCUGCAGUUUGUCAGAUUUCUUUCUCUCAUAUAUUAACAGUACUUUCAGGAGCAUCCUUGCAGGCUUGGACUGGCGUGUAAGAGCCAAUUGUUAAAUUGUCAGUCAUUUUGUGAGAUGGUCUUUAAGCACAGCCAUUAUUAAAAAUGAAACUAUACAAACUUGAAAGUAAAUAAAUAAUAUGAACAACAAAGUUAAUAAAUAGCA